GCUUUCUGUUGUGAAUCAAGCCUACAAGAAAUGUGUAAAUCACAAUUUGGCGCCGAGUUUUCAGAAAAAUCAGAUAAAUUGCUCAGUUUUCAAUUUUUAAAAUAAUUUUUUCUCUCAAUUCCGAUUACAUAUUUAGAACAUUAUUAAUUUCAUGUAAGUAAAGAUAUGCUCAACCUAUAUUCUAUAAUGUUAUAGCCUACCUAUUUAAAAAUAUCAAAAAUGUCAUUUGAUCAUAAAAUGGAAAACAAAAAAAGUUGAUCUCUUUCCCACCGCAUCUUGCCAACUUGGUGAAAUGCAGAAACUCUCUCUCCCUCAGCCUCCUUUCAUCUAGUGAAUCCAUAAAAUCGUGUCUCCUAUCAAGCUAUUCUUCAUGAACCUAGCCACCAUCGCCCCUUCCUCUUACCUCAGUUAGGUGAACUCCCAAUAAUAAGAUUACUGGCCAUCACAGUACUCCCUACAACGUCCCCUCACCACGAACUUAAUACUUCCCUUCUUCUUGAUUGUGAAUUCCAACCCCUCUCCUCCUAUCACCUUCUUAUAUGAAUUCUUCAUGUAGAUAUCACUCUCCCAUCCUACAAUAAAAAUUAAGAAAAAAUUAGACGGAAAACGGAAAUGUAUAACAGAAUCAAAUUUAAGCACUAGACUAAACGCCAAUUUUCUUUUAUUUUAUUUGUCUUUAUUGUCGGAAAGCAAGAACAAGAAAUGAGUGACCCGAAGGCAAUGCGUCAGGGAUGGGAUAUGGACAAAACGGCGUCGCAUAAGGAAUAUUGAAGCGCCGUUUUAAAGCGACCAUAUCAACAAUCGUGGGAAACAGCAUCAGCUUUAGCCAAUUGAAAAUAACUUUUUAACUGCUACAUCAACAGGUGCAAUGGAAAAUAGAUUGUUGUUUAUAGUGAUGGACCAAUUGUCUAUCUAUGCCAUUUCAAUUAUUUCCAUAGUACCAUUUUUUGGUGAACAUAAGAUUUAAUAAAAAUUUACGUGAUAAUUCAGCAAAAUUCAUCUACCCUUGUUCCAUAUGAUUUUGAUAGUUGAACAUAACACUUAAGCGAUUAACAACACAAUUAGACAAAUACAUACGAUUAGUAAUUCAUGUUGAAAAUGGUCGAGUAAACAUAGGGAAAUGUGUGCAAUUCCGGCUACGAUGACUAAAUGGUGAACAAAAUAAAUUUAGAAUUAGAACAAUUUGAUUUAUCGCAGUGAAAAUGCCCAAGUUUGGUGGCUAAUGAUAUGCAUUAUCUGGUUAUAAUGCUAGUUUUAUUAUCAGUAUUAGCCUAGAAAAUUUCUGUUCUACAAGUGAAAGUGAUAGACUGCAACACCGAUGCUACUAUUCUCAAAAUACGGUAGCAAGGAUAAUGGAACAAUAAUUGAACAAAUUGUGGAAAAUUUGUAGCAAAUCAAAUACCUGCAUGACCAGAAUGAACUUACCAAUUCAGAUUUACUAGCAAGAAAAUCUAUCACUUCUUGGUUCCAUUUGUUUGGAAUUUGGAAAGGAAAUUUUACGGGGAAAAGAAUAAAAUGCAGACAGACAAAGAUCAAAAGAGGUCACUUUCAAGCAUCCCAUCCAAUGGAAGGCAAAAUAGAAAAGGCCAUUUCAAUGAAACUUGCUACGAUUGGAGUUUAGAUUUGACAGCCGGGAAAGGAGGCAAUCUGAGUACUGCUUCCUCAGUCUCAAUCGGGUCUGAUCUCAGGAUUGGGUCUUGGAGUGGAGGUUUAGUGUCGUCCUGGGCUGGCCUGAAGGGAGGUUUCUUCGGCUUAGUGACACUGCUAUUGCUGGUUUUCAUGGUUGGAGAUGAUAUCUCUGAGCCUUUCAUUGUUUGCUUUCUUAACCUCUUCCCUGCCUCACACCAUCAAUAGAGUUCAAUGCUGCCGUUGUAGUUCUUGAAGCCAAAUAUUUACAUCUUCUCCUGAGGUAAAUAGAAAAUAAGAUCUAUGGAUUAUAUUAAGGAUAUAAAAUUUAAGACUUUACAAUUUGAAACUCCAAUAAUUUAAGUACUUAAAUUCAAAUCAUGAUAACUUUUCCCCCACAAAAUUUUACUAAUAUUUCAUAAAAUCAUUUAAUGAAAAAUAAACUCAUCAAGUUAAAUAUGGUUAUUACUUCAAAGUUUAUAUACAAAUAUUAUCACUAUGUGAAUUAGAACUAAAAUAUUUAGCUUUAGAUUUAAAAUCACUUCUCAAUAUUCUAACAUAGUAGUCAACUCUUUGAUGCAAGUCGCAUGUUAGACUAAACCUAAUUGUGUAGGCAAAAAAAAAUUCCACAUCAGUAUGUCAAAUAAAAAUAGAAUAAAAAAUUACAAUUAAAAAGCUUGGAAAGACAUUCUUAUCUUUGCCUUUUAACCUCCAUAACUAGUUGAUCACAGAUAGUGUUGAAAUUUGUUCAUUCUUACACUUCCUCAAAUUUGUUCAUUCUUACACUUCCUCACUAUCUCCAUGAUAUCAAUUCAAUUUUAUACACCACAUCAUGACAUGUAAAAUUCACGACUUUCACAAGGCAAACAAAUGUUGUAUUCACAUUCACUAAUGAGCAAAAUCAAUCGUGUCAAUGAGAUUCAUGGAAGACCUGUAUAAAAUUGCCUAUAUUUGAUGUUUUUACUCCUAAGCAAUAAACAUCAUAAAGUACAGAGGGAUAAUUCACAUUUCAGUGUUACAGACAGUCCCAUCAUAUUUGGAUCAACAAUCAAGAUUAAAUUGUCAAUCUUUGAAAGAAUAAUCAGAGAGUAAAUCCAUUGCUGAAUAUUAUUCAGGCCUAAAAUCAUUUUAUUUGUCAUCCAAACAAUUCACUGAUUUACAAUAAUCCACCAAAUGAAACAACAAUCAUGUUAACUACACAAAGAUGGCAUAAUAGAUACAGGCAACAUUCAAAUAAAUCGCAAGGUACUAAAAGAUACCAUUAUGGGAUUUCACCAUGACCUCUCUCAAAAAAUCAUCAAAAUUUCUCAAAAUAAAGAAGAAUCAAAAUGCCUAUUGGUUCAAUCCACCCACUACGUGCAUGUAAAACAUUAAAGCUCAGCUUUACACAUUAAACUGCUGGAUAUUUAAUCAUUUAAAUAAAGCAUUAACCAGCAAUCUGGAAAAUCGUAUUCCUAUCAAUAUCAUUUAGAUUCGCCAAAGAGAGAUCAAUAAUUAAUCCAGGGUUCUAGGUUCAAAAUAAAAAAAAUGACAGAUUUGCAAAGGAAAAACAACUUUCAAACAAAAAGCCAAUUUCCCUCGGAUUCGAUUCCAUUCAAGACAAUCAAUAGAAACUAAAACAAUUUAUUGAGAGAUUAAACAUGACUAAUCUAAACAGAACUUCAUUGAGGAUUUUCAUCGAGCUCCAUCAUACCAAUCAAUUUCCUAGACAAAUCACCAAUCAAUGAUUAAAUCUGUCACAAAUUGCUCAAUGAACAUCCAUUCACUCGUCCUAUACACAAGAAUCAGAGAAAAAUCACUUAUUUUGAACUUUUUUUUACCCCUUGGACAUCUAAAGGUUCCAUUAUGAAUUGAAUAACCAAGUAAACCAUAAGCUCCUCGCCAAGAUAACGGAUUCAAAUGAGAUAAAUUAUGCUCAGAAGUAGAAAAUAGAAAAGAUUAGCAGCUCACCUUAUCUUCCCCCUUCCUAUUUACCUGUCGUCCUAGCUAUGCUCCAACAUAAAUCGUUUCUGAAUCUGCGAAUGAGGUAGGAAGGCUCGUCUGAGAGUAAUGAGACAGCGUAUGAACGGUGAACAGCGGAGGCAAACAGACGUCGAGAGUGGGAAAAAGAGAGAAACGAUGACAGAGCUUCGAGGAUGAACCAAAACCUCUUCCAAACAGAAGUUCAGAACGCUGCUU
Molecule: unclassified non-coding RNA, 3804 nt
Filed under: Hevea brasiliensis (rubber tree)
Lineage: Eukaryota; Viridiplantae; Streptophyta; Magnoliopsida; Malpighiales; Euphorbiaceae
Source: RNAcentral